This 1006-nucleotide long non-coding RNA is filed under the name Mytilus galloprovincialis (Mediterranean mussel). Lineage: Eukaryota; Metazoa; Mollusca; Bivalvia; Mytilida; Mytilidae. The record is from RNAcentral.
CAUAAAUAAACAAGGAAGUAAGGAAGUUAACCACUAAUUCAUGACCACCAUUGCUUUUUAAUUUAAUUCUGCACUUUCAGGCUUUUAUAGCUCAUAGGUGACUUGCAAUUCAAAUUACAAAAUUUUAUUAUUUUGGCUGGGUUUGAAAAAAAUCAAAAUACCAUUAAUUGCAUGGCAGAAAACACUGUAUUGUUUAAAAAAAUGUAAAAGUGCAAAAACAUGUUUUUCAUGUCUAAGAAACAUGUAUAUAUCUCCUUCUAUUUUUUUUGUUUUUACAAUUUAAUAUUAUUAGUUAGGCUGAACAUCCAAUAAGGAUAAUACAGUGAUCUCAACUUCUUAAAACUUAAUUUGAUACCUAAAUAAACAAACUAUUAUACAAAUUUCAAAAUAUACAGCUAUGCCACAGAGCUAUCUGUGUCCUGAAUUUGUGGUUCAGUUUUUAAUUCUUAAAUAGAAAUACUUGUCGAUACUAAGUGUCACAAUUCUGACAUUGAUUUCUUCAUACACAAAGUAUGCUCUCUGAACAAAUAUUAGCACCAACAAUAACUCUUGUAGAGCUUGUUUGACUAGGUUGGAUAAUUAAAUGAAUAUAUAAAUGCAUCUGAGGAUAAAAAUAGGACAAUAAAAAUAAUCGAAGUAUUUUUCAUUUAAAGAAAUAAGUCACAAUUUUGCUACAGUUUUUUAAAUCCUUGGAGUUAAAAUUAUUAAAUACUUUUCUUAUCUUAAUUUGGAAUAUAUUCUCAAGUAGGAUAUAAUGGUACUAUAUGGGUUUGGUAAAUAAAUAUGUGUGGGGUACCAAUAUUUCAUGGCUCUCCAGGUUAUUACUAACCAAUUACAAAUUGUACAUAGAAAUAUAUGAGAAUUUGUCAACACUACAAAAUCCAGUAUCCAAAGAAAUACCAAUUUUUAUUAAACCAAGAAAAAAAGUAUGCAUGAAAAUAAUUAAAACCACAAAAUAUUUCUUUAAGUUGUAAUUAUAUCACGAAAAAAUUACUUUCAAAAGAAG